RNAcentral lists this unclassified non-coding RNA (160 nucleotides) under uncultured Inocybaceae. RNAcentral's name for it is "partial internal transcribed spacer 2". The record is from RNAcentral. Lineage: Eukaryota; Fungi; Basidiomycota; Agaricomycetes; Agaricales.
AUGUCUCAACCACACCGUGAGGUGUGGCUUGGAUUUGGGGGUUACAGGCCUAGUCUGCUCCCCCGAAAUACAUGAGUGGUAACGACCUCUCCAUUAAGAUGUGAUACAUAUCUGCAUCUGGUCGAGGGUUCUGCUGCUAUAUAAGAGUUGGAUUUGAUAA